GUUCAUUAACUCGGAUUGCACGCCACCUAAAAAGAAAACCGGGGUGGGUCACGCCUUGUAAAAGCUGACAAAAAAAAAUACAACCUGUCGCACUUCUCUCUCUCCCUUCCCUCAAUCUUCUCUCUCCACCCUCUCCCUCCCAACCUUCUUCCCUCGAUUUUCUCUCUCUACCCUCUCCCAACCUUCUUCCUCAAUCUUCUCUCUCUACCCUCUCCCAACCUUCUUCCCUCAAUCUUCUUUCUCUAUACCCACUCUCAACCUUCUCUAUUUUCUCAUGCUAUCCUUAAAGCUCCUCCCUCAAUCGUCUCUCUUUCAGCUUUCUCUCUCUAAAUUUCUGGGUUUUUACCUCUUCCUCUAUUCUUCAUAGGAGAGAGCCAGCUUCUGAAGAGGUGCAUAAACGGAAGAUGGGCAGUGAAAGCUCGCCCUAACUGGUUUCCUUUUCUCUAUGGUGGAUUGCAUAGUCCUCCCCGUCUUUCUAUUAUGCUGAAUUGGAAGCACUUUAAUGAAGCAGUUCACCACUUGAUCGCUCAUUGAAGAUGUUGUGGCAUACAACAGCAGACGAUGAUGCUUUAUCGGGGAUAAGUGGGCUUCAAAUUGCUGGUGAUGCAUUCCCAGGAUGGAAGAUUCAAGCAUGUGGAUUCUCCAUAGAGCCUGAUUGUAUUUUGGUGUAAAACAUAUGAAAUAUUUGUGUCUUUAUUUUCUAUAUUUAUUAUUGCUAGUGUAGACUGGUUGAUCGAGUUCUAAGUGGAUUUUUUUCCUUGUUAUUGCUAAUUCAAAUGGUUUUUCGUC
Molecule: long non-coding RNA, 789 nt
Organism: Amborella trichopoda
Lineage: Eukaryota; Viridiplantae; Streptophyta; Magnoliopsida; Amborellales; Amborellaceae
Source: RefSeq, a predicted model, not a curated record